UAAAACUAACAAUUCAGGAUCAGCAACCCAACAACGGGUUGUCUGAUUCAUCCGAAAAUUUCAGAGCAGAUAAAUCUUGACCUGAUAAACACCUUUACUCCAGAUUUUUUUUUUUCAUUUUGGUUGGAUGGCCGGGUCACCGCACACAUUUUUGAAACUACAUACCCCAAAGAUGGUUGUGGCCAAGUUUGGAUUGAUUUGGCCAAGCAGUUUCAGAGGAGAAGAUUUUUGUAAAAAAAUUACUAAGAUUUACGAAAAAAUGGUUAAAAAUUGACUAUAAAGGGCAAUAACUCCUAAACGGGUCAACUGACCAUUGUGGUCAUUUUGACUUAUUUGUAAAUCUUAUUUUGCUGAACAUUAUUGCUGUGUACAGUUUAUCUCUAUCUAUAAUAAUAUUCAAGAUAAUAACCAAAAACAGCAAAAUUUCAUUAAAAUUACUAAUUCUGGGGCGGCAUCCCAAAACUGGGUUGUCAGAUUCAUCAGAAAAUUUCAGGGCAGGUAGAUCUUGACCUGAUAAACAAUUAUACCCCUGUCAGAUUUACUAUAAAUGCUUUGGUGUUUGAGUUAUAAGCCAAAAACUGCAUUUUACCCCAGAUUCUAUUUUUAGCCAUGGCAGCCAUAUUGAUUGGAUGGCCGGGUCACCGAACACAUUUUUGAAACUACAUACCCCAAAGAUGGUUGUGGCCAAGUUUGGAUUGAUUUGGCCAAGUAGUUUCAGAGGAGAAGAUUUUUGUAAAAGAUAACUAAGAUUUACGAAAAAUGGUUAAAAAUUGACUAUAAAGGGCAAUUACUCCUAAAGGGGUCAACUGACCAUUUCGGUCAUGUUGACUUAUUUGUAAAUCUUACUUUGCUGAACAUUAUUGCUGUUUACAGUUUAUCUCUAUCUAUAAUAAUAUUCAAGAUAAUAACCAAAAACAGCAAAAUUUCCUUAAAAUUACUAAUUCAGGGGCAGCAACCCAACAACAGGAUAUCCGAUUUAUCUGAAAAUUUCAGGGCAGAUAGAUUUUGACCUGUUUAACAAUUUAACCCCUGUCAGAUUUGCUCUAAAUGCUUUGAUUUUUGAGUUAUAAGCCAAAAACUGCAUUUUACCCCUAUGUUCUAUUUUUAGCCAUG
RNAcentral lists this long non-coding RNA (1113 nucleotides) under Mytilus galloprovincialis (Mediterranean mussel). The record is from RNAcentral. Lineage: Eukaryota; Metazoa; Mollusca; Bivalvia; Mytilida; Mytilidae.